UUGUGCAGCGUGCUGUCCAGCGGCUUGAUAAACAGACUGUUGUUAUUGAGCGCGACUUUGCCUUUCGCGGUGACCAGCUCGCCGUCGAGCGGGAUAUCAAGAUGUAAGCGAGCGCUUACAUCACCAUCUAUCUGCAGCUCCUCAAGCGCCGCCGCCAGCGAAUCGUGCAGCGGGGUAUCCUGGAAAUACGGGCCAACCGCCUUACCCGGACCAUUGAUAUCAGCAUCAAUCAGCAGCUUUUCUUUCUCAUAGUCCGGAAUGGCCGCCUCAAGAUUGCUGGCCAUCACGCCGCCGAGCGCCGCUUUGUCGGCCUUCAUCCACAGGCCAUCGUUGAUAAAGUUGAGCUCAAUAUUGAGGUUGGUCAACGCCGGCCAGUCAGGCUGGAAGGCAAAGGUCGCGUCAUGCAGCGG
This 410-nucleotide non-coding RNA is filed under the name Kluyvera ascorbata. Lineage: Bacteria; Pseudomonadati; Pseudomonadota; Gammaproteobacteria; Enterobacterales; Enterobacteriaceae. The record is from RNAcentral.